CCUACGGGAGGCAGCAGUGGGGAAUUUUGGACAAUGGGCGAAAGCCUGAUCCAGCCAUGCCGCGUGCAGGAUGAAGGCCUUCGGGUUGUAAACUGCUUUUGUACGGAACGAUAAAGACUCCUUCUAAUAAAGGGGGUCCAUGACGGUACCGUAAGAAUAAGCACCGGCUAACUACGUGCCAGCAGCCG
This 188-nucleotide ribosomal RNA is filed under the name uncultured bacterium. RNAcentral describes it as "partial 16S rRNA". It matches the Rfam family "Bacterial small subunit ribosomal RNA", at positions 338 to 517 of the family's 1533-position model. The record is from RNAcentral.